CCUACGGGAGGCAGCAGUGAGGAAUAUUGGUCAAUGGCCGGAAGGCUGAACCAGCCAAGCCGCGUGAAGGACGAAGGUGCCAAGCAUUGUAAACUUCUUUUGUCAGGGAACAAAGUCAGGCUCGAGAGCCUGACCGAGGGUACUUGAAGAAAAAGCAUCGGCUAACUCCGUGCCAGCAGCCGCGGUAAUCCGGAGGAUGCGAGCGUUAUCCGGAUUUAUUGGGUUUAAGGGGUGCGUAGGCGGGCUGUUAAGUCCGUGGUAAAGGCCCGGGGCUCAACCCCGGCGAGCCUUUGAAACUGGCUGUCUUGAGAUGUGGAGAGGUAUGCGGAAUGCGCAGUGUAGCGGUGAAAUGCUUAGAUAUGGCGAAGAACGCCGAUGGCGAAGGCAGCAGACCGGCGGCGAUCUGACGCUGAGGCACGAAAGCGUGGGUAUCGAACAGGAUUAGAUACCCCUGUAGUC
Molecule: ribosomal RNA, 459 nt
Filed under: uncultured bacterium
Lineage: Bacteria
Description: partial 16S ribosomal RNA
Rfam family: Bacterial small subunit ribosomal RNA
Source: RNAcentral